This 250-nucleotide ribosomal RNA is filed under the name Salmonella enterica subsp. enterica serovar Infantis. RNAcentral's name for it is "partial 23S ribosomal RNA". It matches the Rfam family "Bacterial large subunit ribosomal RNA", at positions 1 to 242 of the family's 2925-position model. RNAcentral also lists the same sequence under 17 other names. The record is from RNAcentral. Lineage: Bacteria; Pseudomonadati; Pseudomonadota; Gammaproteobacteria; Enterobacterales; Enterobacteriaceae.
GGGUUGUGAGGUUAAGCGACUAAGCGUACACGGUGGAUGCCCUGGCAGUCAGAGGCGAUGAAGGGCGUGCUAAUCUGCGAUAAGCGCCGGUAAGGUGAUAUGAACCGUUAUAACCGGCGAUACCCGAAUGGGGAAACCCAGUGUGAUUCGUCACACUAUCAUUAACUGAAUCCAUAGGUUAAUGAGGCGAACCGGGGGAACUGAAACAUCUAAGUACCCCGAGGAAAAGAAAUCAACCGAGAUUCCCCCA